CCCUUAGAUGUCCGGGGCCGCACGCGCGCUACACUGAAGGAAUCAGCGUGGCUUUCUCCCUGACCCGAAAGGGUUGGGAAACCCGUUGAAUCUCCUACGUGAUAGGGAUUGGGGCUUGAAAUUGUUCCCCAUGAACGAGGAAUUCCCAGUAAGCGCGAGUCAUAAGCUCGCGUUGAUUACGUCCCUGCCCUUUGUACACACCGCCCGUCGCUACUACCGAUUGAACGGUUUAGUGAGGGCCUCGGAUUGGUCUCGGCCCGCUCUUUACCGGGCGGCGCCGUUGGUCGAGAAGACGCUCGAACUUGAUCGUUUAGAGGAAGUAAAAGUCGUAACA
RNAcentral lists this ribosomal RNA (334 nucleotides) under uncultured eukaryote. Its description in RNAcentral is "partial 18S ribosomal RNA". It matches the Rfam family "Eukaryotic small subunit ribosomal RNA", at positions 1470 to 1796 of the family's 1831-position model. The record is from RNAcentral.